RNAcentral lists this ribosomal RNA (265 nucleotides) under uncultured bacterium. RNAcentral's name for it is "partial 16S ribosomal RNA". It matches the Rfam family "Bacterial small subunit ribosomal RNA", at positions 1237 to 1500 of the family's 1533-position model. The record is from RNAcentral.
GUACAACGAGUCGCAAGCUCGCGAGAGUAAGCUAAUCUCUUAAAGCCGUUCUCAGUUCGGACUGUAGGCUGCAACUCGCCUACACGAAGUCGGAAUCGCUAGUAAUCGCGGAUCAGCAUGCCGCGGUGAAUACGUUCCCGGGCCUUGUACACACCGCCCGUCACACCAUGGGAGUUUGUAACGCCCAAAGUCGGUGGCCUAACCUUUAUGGAGGGAGCCGCCUAAGGCGGGACAGAUGACUGGGGUGAAGUCGUAACAAGGUAAC